RNAcentral lists this ribosomal RNA (315 nucleotides) under uncultured bacterium. Its description in RNAcentral is "bacterial SSU rRNA". It matches the Rfam family "Bacterial small subunit ribosomal RNA", at positions 28 to 334 of the family's 1533-position model. The record is from RNAcentral.
GAUGAACGCUAGCUACAGGCUUAACACAUGCAAGUCGAGGGGCAGCAUGUUGGUUGCUUGCAACCAAUGAUGGCGACCGGCGCACGGGUGCGUAACGCGUAUCGAACCUGCCCUAUACUCGGGGAUAGCCUUGCGAAAGUAAGAUUAAUACCCGAUGUUGUUAUUACAUCGCAUGAUGUUUUAACCAAAGAUUUAUCGGUAUAGGAUGGCGAUGCGUGACAUUAGGUAGUAGGUGAGGUAACGGCUCACCUAGCCUACGAUGUCUAGGGGUUCUGAGAGGAAGGUCCCCCACACUGGAACUGAGACACGGUCCAG